RNA transcript from Planococcus citri (citrus mealybug), 2556 nucleotides. RefSeq lists it as uncharacterized. The record is from RefSeq and is a predicted model, not a curated record. NCBI's taxonomy places the organism in Eukaryota, Metazoa, Arthropoda, Insecta, Hemiptera, Pseudococcidae. The transcript has 3 exons.
AUACAACUACUUUGGUGAUUUCGUUCUUUCUUAAAUCGUGUGAUGCUGCCGGCUUCGUACAAGAAAACUUGAAACGUGAAUCAGUAUUCGCGAAAGAUGUUUCGCUACAACGAGUUACAAAAAUUCGUCAGGUCUUCGAAUUAGCAAAUUUUCGUUCGUGUUAUUUUUUUUCAGCUAGAUUUAUUUUAAAUUCGAUUUUUACCAUUUUUAAAAAUUGUUUUCGAUGUGAAUUUUCCUUGUGUAUGUGCGCGUUGUUUUUCGUAUAGCGAAAAAUUGACGAUGAAUUAAUCAAUAAUCAUACGUGGUGAUAAAUUUUUGUGUAUAGUCAACAAUAUUUAUUUAUUCGUGUUUAUAUUCUGUGAUAAGUGAGAGUUGAAAGUGGAAUAAAAUUUGUACUCGGUAAAUUAGUGAAUAAUUUUUCGAUAUUUUAAAUAAAUUUUGUGGAGAAGUGGAUGCACAUACAAUCCAUUGGAACAAUCUUAAAAUUUUGGAAAACGCGGCUUAUGCUGGCUUAAAACUCAAAACAAAUCAAAAGCGUUUUUGUGAAACCGUAAUCCUAAGGAAGGUGAAUGUCCGAGACACGAUAACUCACGUUAGAAUUGAGCAGUUGAACUGAAAAUUUUGACCAUUGAUUCUGAACGUCGAUCUUCAGAGCUGUAUAUUUUUUGGGAAUAAUUGGUCCGUAGAGACCGAGCUAUUGGAGUCCAAAAUGUCCAAAAAUGGAUUUUCUUCCUUUGCACCAAUUCUUGGAAAUUGUAUACCUAAUUAUAAUAUUCAAUCGUUCAAUAUUUUGAAUGUACCUAUUAUAACGAUAAAAUUUAUGACUUUAUAACAUUUUCUUCAAAUGUCAAAGAAUCAGUUAUGGGGCUUCAAACUGUUCAAAAAUAAAUAUCUUCUUUCGCCCCAAUCCCUUACUUAAGUAAAUCAAAUUUUUCAUAUAAAAGUUUUUGCUUGAUAAAUUCAUAAUAUUUUAGUUAGGCGUUCAACUUUUGGAUUCUUUAUGCACAUUUUGUUGAAAUGCCAGAAGCAAAAAGGAAUUUUCAAAAUUCCACAUUUUGUUAUAGUAUGAAAAUUGAAAAAUUUACCUGUUACUUAAGCAGUGUUAUUUGAUUGUAAUUUUUUUUUCAAUUUGUUUUAGCAAAAUUUUAUGAUUUUUUUUUGAAAUGUCUGCUGCUUUUUGUCCGUUUGUCAACUGUAAAUAAAAGCUAUGAUGCUGCAACUUUUUUUUCAAUUCUGAUUUUAAUUUUUGAUUUACGUAACUGUUUCUUCAAUUUUUAUUUUAUUCUUGAUUUUUCAAAUAUCUCUUUGACAUUUCAACAAAAAGUCAUAUUUUUUAUUUUAUCGUUAAUUAAGGUUUUGAUUGUUAUUUUGUACUCAUGUUACCUAUUUUUAAGUGUUUGUGAUAAAAGUUACCAAAGAUGUUUGUAAAUUAAAAUUUAAUUUAAAAAAUAGGUAGAUAUGUACCUACAUAUGUUACUUUUUCAAUAAGGCAUUUGUUGAAAUAUUGAAUAAACUAUAAAAAAUAGUCAUGAUUUGUGAUUUUAGUACUUAAUUUAUGAAUUCGUAGAAAAAAAGAAGAAAAUGGAGUAAUAAAAAUCAGUAUAUUGUAAACCGAGGCAAUAAAGGUGUCCAGGGGGCAAAUUUUUUUACCUACGAAAAACAGGCAGGAGUCAAGCGGUUGAAUAACAGCAAGAUGCUUAGAUUUCUGUACAAUCAUUUAUGAAUAGGUAUACUUCUAUUGGAAAAAGCUGUUUGAAAUUAGAAAAACUUUGGGCCAAAAAUUGGAUUUUUUGAAACUACAAGUAGGUAUGCAUGAAAUUGAACACAAUAUGGUGGAAGUUUUGAUUUUAUAAUAGCCUGAAGUAAUUCCAAAAAAUUUGUACUUUUCUCGAUGGAGCGACUUGAAAAAGAAAUGUUUGCCUUCCGACCUUACUCAUUUUUUUCUCAUUGUUUUCAAAUUCUCUCCGAACAAAACCGAUAGGUAAUUGAAUAAAUUAAAUCAUGCUCAUACAUAAUAUAAAAAUUUUCGCUGUGGUUUUUGCCAUUAAAAUUGCAUUUUUACUUGAAUUUUCGUAACAAACGUAAUAAAAUAGUUCAAUUUUGAUCUUUUUUUUUUAAAUUCAGUAGGUAUCUGCUAAAGCCUCAGACACGACACGACACGACACGAAAAAAAGAACAUGGUAUCAAGAAUUAUAAUAAAGUUUUCCCUUGAAUUUAAAAAAAAAAAAUGUUACCUUGUUACUAAGUGACAUCAAUUUUUGUAGUACACGUACUAAGCAUAAGUUACACAUAGAUUUUUUGUUAAUGUGUUUUCGCUGGAAUUGAAAAAUUAUAUAUAAUUCCUAUGAUGAACAUAGGUAAUUGCUUGUUCUUGAAUCAUUUUUCCAUUUUCUUUUUUAAUUCUAUGAUUUGUGUAACCUUAUGCAAGUAGGUAGUAGGUAAUAUACUUAUUUUUCAGGAUAAGAGCUCCAGCCUGCAUUGAAUUUUUUUUCACUAAUGGUCUCUCUUCUGAAUAAUCUCACAAUUUUUUUUAUGGAUGUAAAUUAUAAUGUAUAC